Molecule: long non-coding RNA, 2351 nt
Filed under: Triticum aestivum (bread wheat)
Lineage: Eukaryota; Viridiplantae; Streptophyta; Magnoliopsida; Poales; Poaceae
Description: long non-coding RNA (TAES_LNC001790)
Source: RNAcentral
GUUAAUUUAGGUGAACAAAAUAUUUUGUUUGGUUUUCAGGCAAGUCAAUUCAGUUCGUUUUGAACAAAUGGAUUGUAUCUCUCAAACGGAAGGCAUGGAUUCCAUGGGCUCAAGGAGCUUUUUGCAUCAAUAUAAUUUUCCUCAUGUGUAUGAGAUUCGUUUUUGGUUUACUGUUGAAUCAACUGUGGCUUUUCCUUGGAUUCAGAUUAUAUUUUUACUCUAUCGUGUCCUCUGAUAGCGUUGUGCUCUCCACGGAUUGGAUCUGAAUCAUCUCACGUACAGGUUUUGGAUGCCUCAUGGAGAUCAGAUCGGAGGACACCAACUAUACCCAUACUCCACGAUCUUUUCCUCUUGAUUAUCUCUCUUUCCCCCAAUGUAAAAUGAAUGGAUCAAAUAGAAGACAUGGAUUCCGUGUGGUCGAGGAGCUUUAUGCAUCAAAAUAAUUUUCCUCAUCUACAUCAGGUUCGUACUUUCACACAGUCUAUUCUGAAUUUCGUUUUUGCAGGUCUAUGCUUGGAUCAACCGUUGCUUUUCCUUUUGAUUCAGAUUCAAUUUUUUCCCAUGUCCUCUCUUAGUUUGUUUCUCUUGAUGUAUUGGAUCCUUUAUCUUCUCAGGUACAAUUUUGGAUUCCACAUGGAGAUCAUGUCGGGGCACACCAACUAUACCCAUUGUUACUGCUCAAGAAUCUCCCACUAUGUACGAAGGUUGUCUCUGGUCAGUUGAUGUCAUUGUUCCAUUGGUUUGUUACUCUUUUUUUCAGAUUAAAGCAUUGGAUUUGUAGCUUCCCUUGGACUAAACAAGUACUAAUCUUCAGAAUUCUGUGUUCUUUUACCUGCUAAUCUUUUUGUACUCCUUUAACUUUGUUAUAUUCAAAUCAUACUUUCAUUAUUUCUUGCAGUAUAAGUUCAAAAUUAUGGCGUGAGACAUGGGGAUGCAAUUAAACUCAAUGGAGAAGGAAACCUGGAAAGGGAUGAACAGAGUAAUUAGUCUGUGUGAUGCCAUUAACCUUGACAACAAUGAACUUAUGGGACUUGGAAUGAUACUAGAUGAAGAGGUCAGUUUAUUGGUAAAUUUUAUGAUCUGCAAAUAGUAGAUGAUACUAUGAGUUAUAUAGUAGCUAUUAUAAAUCUAGAGGUAUCUUCUCAGUGCAUUAUAUAACACUAUAUUGGCUUAGCUGCGUGUGUAACUGUAUGAUGUUAUUAAUUCGUGCAAGUAUCAUUCAAUCCAAAAUUGGCUUGACCGCCGUUGCAGUUGGCCACCGUCGUGAUGGUGGGUUCAUAACGCUGCUACUUCUUGGGUGGAACGUCGUCGCUUCACGGCUGGUCGAAAUACAGCGCCAAUGCAAAGGCAGGUUUAGCCAGCCCUGAAGUUCUGCAUCUAUGCAUACAUGUGAUGGCUUUCUAGGGCGUCACGUACAUAUAUGGUUUCUAGAUCAGAGUCUAUUGUUUUGAUUUUUUGUUUUUCCUUUUUAUGUUUUCCCAUUGUACUGAUUUUGAGUUUAUUUGAUACGAAUUAUAUGGUUAAUUUAGGUGAACAGAAUAUUUUGUUUGGUUUUCAGGCAAGUCAAUUCAGUUCGUUUUGAGUAAGUCUUCAACACUGACUGUUUCGCAUUUUCUACUUAUAUGUGGAUUGUGUUUCUCACAUUCGGUGCUAUGUUUGAAUCUUUCAUAAUUUUGUGUUUCUUUAAGAGUUCCAACAGAUUCAUUUUUUGUUUCACGUUCUAACCGUCAAUGUGCACUUGAUUUUUGCUCUCCAGGGUUAUAAUUUGAAUUAUGUUGUUCUCCAUGUUUCCAGUUAUUUCUUUGAAGGGAGGUCAAUCGAUUGGUGAGGUCAUCAACGGCUGUCUAUGGUUGUCUCUAGGUAUCAAAAAUUAUUUCUCGGGCUAUUGUGGACACAGGUUAUUGUCUGCAACUACUCAUGUUACAGGCAAUGCUGCCAGAAAAUGUUCUAAUGUCAUGGACACUGUUCACAUGCAGCUGUAGAAUUUAUGUCUAAGGACCUUAUCCACACAAGGAUACUAUUGAACCUUCUUUGACAGUUGGAGACUGAGAUCGAGCAGAAGUAUGGCAACCAUGUCGUGUGGAAAAGGGCCCAUGAACUAGCAUGUCAUCAUGUCACCGUGUCAGACAAUACAUUGCGUAAUGCAUGAGAGGCUCAUAUUAAGCUUGGCCAUCUUCUCUUGAUUUUUUUUCAAUCAGAUUGUCGUACUAGGGAAUUUGCACUGCUUACAAGUAAGGAUCGGCCUUCACCUCACUCUAUGCAUUGUAACAUUGUUAUUUAAUUUAGGUUAAAGUUAUGAUAAAUGCAUGCCUGAUUUAGAGAUGAGAUGACUACUUUAAGUUCGGUUCAAG